RNAcentral lists this long non-coding RNA (879 nucleotides) under Homo sapiens (human). RNAcentral describes it as "HSALNT0082381". The record is from RNAcentral. Lineage: Eukaryota; Metazoa; Chordata; Mammalia; Primates; Hominidae.
GUGUAAGUCACAGAGCAGUAAAAGAAGUUGGAAUAUUUUACCACAGUUGCAAAAAGGAGAGGGUUUGUGAGGCCCGGGCUUCUUUAUAUACAAGAAAAGGCAACACUGCCAAAUCCGAGUCUAGGCGCCCAGAAAGCUAAUGCAAAACCAGUGCCUAAAGGAGGAAAGUAUCAAUGUCACCUUGAAAGUGAACAGAGACACUACUGUUAUUAAAAAGAAAAACAAGUCAUGAGGAAGAAGAAUGUAUUGAGUCGUUAGCAUGCUCAAGGAGGUUUCCACAGCUGCAAUGUGGAGAUUGGUGUGUUCCAUUACAUCUCAUUGCCCCUUUAGAAGCAGGCUGUGCUGGGGACCAGGAGGAGGCCAUUGGAUGGGUGCCAGGAAGCUCAGGGCUUCAGGCAUGGCUGACCCUGUUUCCACUGGGCCCCAGGGAAAUUGAAGCCAAAUGUAUGAGGAUGGAACAGUUCUGAGGCUUUCAUAAGUUAUUUUCUGUAAUCCAUUGACCAUUUUGAUGAUCAUUUUUCCUCCCAGAAAAAUUCACUUACCCCUUUUCUCUUCUGUGGACUGCAUUGCCACAUUUUCCUCUCUCAUUUGAUUUCACAAGUGUCCAUAAUCUUACUUGCUCCUUUCCUUUGGCAUUUUCUCUUGGAAUCUAAGUAUCUCUGUUUUUUAUAUUUUAUAGUCACUUGCUUCAUGUUUAUCCUCUUUUUGUUUUCUAUCUCUUUCUUUCCCCAAAGAAAUAAGUCUUUGCUGCAAUUCAUAGGGGCUGAUAUUGAACCAUACGUCCAGGGUAUUACUUUACAAUGUCCAUAAGCUCCCAGAAAUGCACCAGAAAUACGCCAACAAUUAAAUGACACUUUAUUUCUGGGCGUAGGUAGGGGU